RNAcentral lists this ribosomal RNA (497 nucleotides) under uncultured bacterium. Its description in RNAcentral is "partial 16S ribosomal RNA". It matches the Rfam family "Bacterial small subunit ribosomal RNA", at positions 28 to 507 of the family's 1533-position model. The record is from RNAcentral.
GAUGAACGCUGGCGGCGUGCCUAAUACAUGCAAGUCGAGCGAACAGACGAGGAGCUUGCUCCUCUGACGUUAGCGGCGGACGGGUGAGUAACACGUGGAUAACCUACCUAUAAGACUGGGAUAACUUCGGGAAACCGGAGCUAAUACCGGAUAAUAUAUUGAACCGCAUGGUUCAAUAGUGAAAGACGGUUUUGCUGUCACUUAUAGAUGGAUCCGCGCCGCAUUAGCUAGUUGGUAAGGUAACGGCUUACCAAGGCAACAAUGCGUAGCCGACCUGAGAGGGUGACCGGCCACACUGGAACUGAGACGCGGUCCAGACUCCGACGGGAGGCAGCAGUAGGGAAUCUUCCGCAAUGGGCGAAAGCCUGACGGAGCAACGCCGCGUGAGUGAUGAAGGUCUUCGGAUCGUAAAACUCUGUUAUUAGGGAAGAACAAAUGUGUAAGUAACUAUGCACGUCUUGACGGUACCUAAUCAGAAAGCCACGGCUAACUACGUG